This 796-nucleotide ribosomal RNA is filed under the name Streptomyces sp. NWU339. RNAcentral's name for it is "bacterial LSU rRNA". It matches the Rfam family "Bacterial large subunit ribosomal RNA", at positions 2136 to 2925 of the family's 2925-position model. The record is from RNAcentral. Lineage: Bacteria; Bacillati; Actinomycetota; Actinomycetes; Kitasatosporales; Streptomycetaceae.
GUGUAGGAUAGCUGGGAGACCGUGAAGCCGCCACGCCAGUGGUGGUGGAGUCGUCGUUGAAAUACCAGUCUGGUCGUGCUGGAUGUCUAACCUGGGUCCGUGAUCCGGAUCAGGGACAGUGUCUGAUGGGUAGUUUAACUGGGGCGGUUGCCUCCUAAAGGGUAACGGAGGCGCCCAAAGGUUCCCUCAGCCUGGUUGGCAAUCAGGUGGUGAGUGUAAGUGCACAAGGGAGCUUGACUGUGAGACCGACGGGUCGAGCAGGGACGAAAGUCGGGACUAGUGAUCCGGCGGUGGCUUGUGGAAGCGCCGUCGCUCAACGGAUAAAAGGUACCCCGGGGAUAACAGGCUGAUCUUCCCCAAGAGUCCAUAUCGACGGGAUGGUUUGGCACCUCGAUGUCGGCUCGUCGCAUCCUGGGGCUGGAGUCGGUCCCAAGGGUUGGGCUGUUCGCCCAUUAAAGCGGUACGCGAGCUGGGUUUAGAACGUCGUGAGACAGUUCGGUCCCUAUCCGCUGCGCGCGCAGGAGUCUUGAGAAGGGCUGUCCCUAGUACGAGAGGACCGGGACGGACGAACCUCUGGUGUGCCAGUUGUCCUGCCAAGGGCAUGGCUGGUUGGCUACGUUCGGGAGGGAUAACCGCUGAAAGCAUCUAAGCGGGAAGCCUGCUUCGAGAUGAGGACUCCCACCCACUUGAUGGGGUAAGGCUCCCAGCAGACGACUGGGUUGAUAGGCCGGGUCUGGAAGCACCGCAAGGUGUGGAGGUGACCGGUACUAAUAGGCCGAGGGCUUGUCCUCAGUUG